ACGAACGCUGGCGGCGUGCUUAACACAUGCAAGUCGAGCGGUAAGGCCCUUUCGGGGGUACACGAGCGGCGAACGGGUGAGUAACACGUGGGUGACCUGCCCUCAGCUCUGGGAUAAGCCUGGGAAACUGGGUCUAAUACUGGAUAUGACUCCACGGUGCAUGUCGUGGGGUGGAAAGCCUUGUGCGGCUGAGGAUGGGCCCGCGGCCUAUCAGCUUGUUGGUGGGGUGAUGGCCUACCAAGGCGACGACGGGUAGCCGGCCUGAGAGGGCGACCGGCCACACUGGGACUGAGACACGGCCCAGACUCCUACGGGAGGCAGCAGUGGGGAAUCUUGCGCAAGUGGGCGAAAGCCUGACGCAGCGACGCCGCGUGAGGGAUGACGGCCU
RNAcentral lists this ribosomal RNA (388 nucleotides) under uncultured bacterium. RNAcentral describes it as "bacterial SSU rRNA". It matches the Rfam family "Bacterial small subunit ribosomal RNA", at positions 29 to 417 of the family's 1533-position model. The record is from RNAcentral.